This 4731-nucleotide long non-coding RNA is filed under the name Homo sapiens (human). RNAcentral describes it as "KHDC1 antisense RNA 1, transcript variant 11 (KHDC1-AS1)". The record is from RNAcentral. Lineage: Eukaryota; Metazoa; Chordata; Mammalia; Primates; Hominidae.
AAGCAACCCAGAGCCCUCCUCCCGCCUGCUCUGUGUAGGAGACAGCCUGCGGAGCCCACUGCCGGCGCGCAGAGAGCCCAGCAGCUCUUGAGUCCAGGAAGCAAGGGUGGGAGGAGGGACGAGCCAGUGGCAAUGACCCAGACCCGGACGACCCCCAUUGCUGAGCCAGCGGAGCUGCUUGGAGGCAGAGGUUGCAGUGAGCUGAGAUUUUGCGACUACACUCCAACCUGGGCAACAGAGCGGGACUCCAUUCCAAAAAAAUAAGAAAAACAGAAAAAUAAUAAUUACAUCUGCAAAGACCUUAUUUCCAGGCUCAAGCAGAGUCUUCCUCCUGGUGUUCCAGAAGGAGUUCAAGGUCCUGCUCCAUAUGGGACAGCUAGAUUCUGAGGGCAAUGUUGAGAUCCUCAUCUCCAGAAGGUGCUGGUGCCAGAAAUAUGACAAAAGGCUGAUUGACGGGCCAGUGAAUUGGAUUUCCCUGUGCAGCAGGCAAGAAGAAUCUGUUGGAUGAUUACAACAUUGCUGGAUUGAUAGCAGCCUCACCUGCCAGGCUCAAACUCCAGAUCCAAAGUCCACAAAUAUAUCAUAAAUCUGAAGAGGAACUGGGAGAAGCUUCUGCUGGCAGCUCAUGCCAUUGUUGCCAUUGAAAACCCUGCUGAUGUGUCAUAUCCUGCAGGAAUACUAGCUAGUGGGCUGUGCUGAAGUUUGCUGCUGCUGCUGGAGCCACAUGUAUUGCUGGUCACUUCACUUCUGGAACCUUUGCUAACCAGAUCCAAUCAUCUUCUGCCACCCACAUCUUCUGGUGGUUACUGAUUCUAGGGCUAACUAUCAGCCUCUCUCAGGGGCUUCUUAUGGUAACCUACCUACCUACCACUGCUGUAUGUAACAGAUUCUCCUCUGAGCUAUGUGGAUAUUGUCAUCCCAUGCAACAACAAGGAAGCUCAAUCACUGAGUCUAAUGUAGUGGAUGCUGGCCCAGGAAGCUCUGUGCAUGUGUUGCACCAUCUCCCAUGAUCAUGCCUGAUCUCUACUUCUAUAGAGAUCCUGAAGAGAUUGAAAAGGAAGAGUAGGCUGCAGCUGAAAAAGGAGGAAUUUCAAAGUGAAUGGACUGCUGUAGUGCAAGUUUACUGCUACUCAAUCUGAGGUUGCAGACUGGUUUAAAGACAUGCAGGUGCCCUCUGUGCCUAUUCAGCAGUUCCCUACUGAAGAUUGGAGCACUUAGCCUACCAUGAAUGACUGGUCUGCAACUUCCACUGCUCAGACCACUGAAUGGGUAAGAAUAACCACUGAGUGGCCUUAAGCUGUUCUUCCACAAGCUCUUAAACAAGAUGGAAAUAACGCUGAUGGAAAUAAACAACAGUUUCCAAGAAAACACGAACAGCUGAAGUGGCAAUGUUUAAGUAACAUCUGGUAGACUUUAACAUGAAUGUUAUUAAGCAGGAAAUUAUGAUCUUUUAAGUUGGAACAUGUAAUGUUAAUCCUUUUGCACCAAAAUAUCUCUUUAAGUCUAAAUUAUCCACUUUUUUUUUUAAUUCUUCGUAGAGAUAGAGGUUUCGCUUUGUUGCCCAGGCUGUUCUUGACUUCCUAACUUCAAGCAAUCCUUCUGCCUCAGCCUCCCAGAGUGCUGGGAUUAUAGGCAUUUGCCACCGUGCCUGGUGUACCCAGUUUCUGUUAUCAACAGAAUGCAGUGGUGUAUGGUUGCUAAAGGGUCCCAAGAUCAGGACCUACGUUAAGGUGGAUUUUGAAUUAUUUAAAAUUCUGAUUUUGUUUUAUUUUUAAUUAAUCUUUGGGGGAAGGAUGGGAGGGGGGUGAGGGUUGAAGAAGUAAACAUUGUACCUAUUGGAUACAAUGUUUAAUAUUUGUGUGAUGGGCACACUGGAAGCCCAAACCUCACUAUUACACAAUACAUUCAUGUAACAAGCCUGCACAUGCACCUCCUGAAUCUAUUUUUAAAAAUUUAAUUCUCUAGCACAGACUCCCUUUUUUUGGUAAGAUGGCGGGGUACGACUUAACUACUCGCAUCACGCACCUUUUGGAUCGGCAUCUAGUCUUUCCGCUCCUUGAGUUUCUCUCUGUAAAGGAGAUAUAUAAAGAAAAGGAAUUAUUACAAGGUAAAUUGGACCUUCUUAGUGAUGCCAACAUGGUAGACUUUGCUAUGGAUGCAUACAAAAACCUUUAUUCUGAUGAUAUUCCUCAUGCUUUGAAAGAGAAUAGAACCACAGUUGUUGCACAACUGAAACAGCUUCAGGCAGAAACAGAACUAAUUGUGAAAAUGUUUGAAGAUCCAGAAACGACAAGGCAAAUGCGGUCAACCAGGGAUGGUAGGAUGCUCUUUGACUACCUGGCGGACAAGCAUGGUUUUAGGCAGGAGUAUUUAGAUACAUUCUACACAUAUGCAAAAUUCCAGUAUGAAUGUGGGAAUUACUCAGGAGCAGCAGAAUAUCUUUAUUUUUUCAGAGUGUUGGUUCCAGCAACAGACAGAAAUGCUGUAAGUUCACUCUGGGGAAAGCUGGCCUCUGAAAUCUUAAAGCAGAAUUGGGAUGCAGACAUGGAAGACCUUACAUGGUUAAAAGAGACCAUAGAUAAUAAUUCUGUGAGUUCUCCACUCCAGUCUCUUCAGCAGAGAGCAUGGCUCGUUCACUGGUCUCUGUUUUCUUCAAUCACCCCAAAGGUUGUGAUAAUAUUGUUGAUCUCUUCCUUUACCAGCCACAGCAUCUUAAUGUGUCCACACAUUCUUCACUAUUUGACUACAGCAGUCAUAGCAAACAAGGAUGUUCGAAAACGUUGGCAGGUGCUAAAAGAUCUAGGUAAAGUUACUCAACAGGAGUCUUACACAUAUAAAGACCCAAUUACAGAAUUUGUUGAAUGCUUAUAGAUUAACUUUGACUUAGAUGGGGCUAAGAAAAAGCUGAGAGAAUGUGAAUCAGUGCUUGUGAACGACUUCUUGGUGGCUUGUCUUAAGGAUUUCAUUGACAAUGCCCAUCUCUUCAUAUUUGAGACUUUCUGUCACAUCCACCAGUGUAUCAGCAUUAACAUGUUGGCAGACAAAUUGAACAUGACUCCAGAUGAAACUGAAAGGUGGAUUGUAAAUGUGAUUAGAAAUGCAAGACUGGAUGCCAAGAUUGAUUCUAAAUUAGGUCAUGUGGUUAUGGUAACAAUGUACUCUCACCCUAUCAGCAAGUGAUUGAAAAGACCAAAAGCCUUUCUUUUAGAAGCUAGAUUUUGGCCAUGAAUAUUGAGAAGAAACUUAAUGACAAUAGCAGGUCAGAGGCUCCUAACUGGGCAACUCAAGAUUCUGGCUUCUACUGAAGAAACAUAAGGAAAAGAUUUUAAAAAAACUCUAAAAGAAAGAUGAAAUAAUAAAACUAUUAUAUAAAGGGUGACUUACAUUUUGGAAACAACAUAUUGAGUGUAAAUUGUGAAGAAUUGGAAUAAAAUUGACUGAUUCAAAAAAAUUUAAUUCACAAAAAAAUUUUAAUCCUUUUAAGCUAAUUAUAGAUUCACAUGUAGUUGUAAGAAGUUACAAAGAGGCUAGGUGCAGUAGCUGACGCCCAUGAUCCCCGCACUUUGGGAGGCCGAGGCAGGCAGAUCUCUUGAGGCCAGGAGUUUGAGACUAGCCUGGCCAACAUGGCAAAACCCCAUCUCUACAAAAAAUUAGCAAAGCAUGGUGGCACAUGCCUGUAAUUACAGCUACUUGGGAGGCUGAGGCAUGAGAAUCACUUGACCUGGGAUUACAAGUGUAAUCCCAGCCAUAGGCUGGGUGCAGUGGCUCACACCUGUAAUCCCAGCACUUUGGGAGGCCAAGGUACGGGUGGAUCACCUGAGGUCAAGAGUUCAAGACCAGCCUGGCCAACAUGGUGAAACCCCGUCUCUACAAAAACACAAAAAUUAGCCGGGCAUGAUGGUGCGCACCUGUAAUCCCAGCUACUCAGGAGGCUGAGGCAGGAGAAUCGCAUGAACCCAGGAGGCAGAUGUUGCAGUGAGCCAAGAUCACGCCAUUGCACUCCAGCCUGGGCAACAGAGUGAGACUCCACCUCAAAAAAAAAAAAACAAAAAAAAACCACCAGCCAUUUGGGAAGCCAAGGCAGGAUUGCUUGAGACCAACCAGAAGUUCAAGGUUGCCUGGGCAACAGAGCAAGACUGUCUCGAGACAAAACAAAAAGUCAGCAUCUUCUGCCCACUUUUACUUUAACAUACAUUUAUGGAUCUAUUGUCUCUUUCCCUGUUCUAAAACUUUAAAUUUCACAAGAAUGAAGAUUUUGCUGUCUUGUUUCCUGCUGUGUCCCCAGCAUAAACAGCAUAAAGAAGUGCCAUAAGAUAGAAAUUUUUGUUUUCUGUUCACCAGUAUAUCCACAGCACCUAGAACAGCAUCUGCUUUAGACUUAUUAGAUGAAGACUUAAAAAAAAAAGGAACAGCACUUCUGCACAUAUUUAGCACUUGAUACAUAUUUGUGGAAUAAUUUCUAUCAUAACUAGCAGCUACUUCCUAAUUUGAUAUGUAGCAUCCCGUAUUAACAGGACUUUUGUGAAUGGAGAGGACAUCUAUUUAUUCUUUGUUAUGUGCCAAAUAUAUUUGUAUUAAUCAUAACUCUUAAUAUUCCUUUAAAAUUAAAUAAUUGUUUCCACAGCUCUUAAAAUAGAAUUUAGGAACCUAGCAACAUGCCACUCAUCCAUUAACAGUGAUAAAUUAUUUAAUUUUAUAAACUUUUCAUUAAAGUAACUGAUAUAGUUUGGA